Molecule: long non-coding RNA, 19646 nt
Filed under: Gossypium raimondii (Peruvian cotton)
Lineage: Eukaryota; Viridiplantae; Streptophyta; Magnoliopsida; Malvales; Malvaceae
Description: long non-coding RNA (GRAI_LNC005793)
Source: RNAcentral
CCCGUAUCCAGAGAUGAUUUAUUUCAUUUCAUUAAAUCAGCCAUUUCCAAUGAACAACAACAAACAGACCCAUUUUACGUGCUGGAUUUGGGUGCAAUCAGGUCCCUGGUGGAGACAUGGUUCGAUAAUCUUCCAGUGGUUCAACCUUUCUAUGCUGUCAAAUGCAACCCUAACCCUGCUUUCCUCAAAGAAAUGGCAGCUCUCGGCACCGGCUUCGACUGUGCAAGCCUUCCUGAGAUUGAAACCAUUUUGUCCCUUGGGGUUUCGCCUGAUCGAAUCGUUUUCGCAAACACAUGUAAACCCGAGUCUCACAUCAAGUAUGCAGCUAAAUUUGGCGUUAACUUAACCACUUUCGACUCCAACUGUGAGCUCGAAAAGAUCAAAAAGUGGCACCCGAAAUGUGCACUGUUGAUCCGAAUCAAAGUCCCGGAAACCAGUGGUGCAACAUUCAAGUUCGGUUCCAAGUUCGGUGCACUCCCUGAGGAAAUUGUUCCGCUUCUGAAAGCAGCUCAAGAGGCAAAGCUCCAAGUCGUUGGCGUCUCAUUUCAUAUUGGGAGCAGAGCAAUUAACUUCCAUGCAUUCGAAGAUGCCAUUGGAGCAGCCAAAACAACGUUCGACACUGCAGCUCAACUUGGGCUACCUAAAAUGCAUAUCUUAGACAUCGGUGGAGGCUUCACAUCAGGUCCAAAGUUUACCGAUGCAGCCUCCGCCGUGAAAGUUGCUUUACAAAAAUAUUUCCCCGAUGAGCUAGCUGAUGGUAACUUAAAAAUCAUUGCGGAACCUGGUCGCUUCUUUGCUAAUUCGCCAUUUACAUUAACAACAAGCGUAAUAGGGAAACGAGAAAGGGCGGAGGUUAAGGAGUACUGGAUUAGCGAUGGGAUUUCGGGGUCGAUGAAUUUUUUGAAGUACGAUCACGAUGAAGUGAUUUGCACUCCUCUCAUCAUGAAAAACCCCACAUGCAAAGAAUUGAAAACAUGGAGUUCCACUGUUUUUGGACCGACAUGCGAUGCAGCUGAUACGGUUUUGAAGGGUUUUGAAUUGCCAGAAUUGGACGUGAAUGAUUGGCUGGUCUUUCACAACAUGGGUGCUUAUACUUCAUCCCGUGGGAAUGAUUUCAACGGGUUCAAAACUUCGGCCAUUCCAACUAUUGCCUAUGAAAAUUAAUGGUCGCCAUAUGGUCACCCUUAGAAGAAGCAAACAAAUGUGUUUUCCUCGUGGUGUUUAAAUUUUCAAAUGGUUGUUUUUGUUGUUUUCUGAUGAGUGGUCUGUUUUCUUUUGUUAAUGUGAUGCUCUGAUUGCUAUGUUUGUGAGCCUCAUGUUUAUAAUAAAACUUUUAUUUGCUGAAGAAAAUAGCUUGUGAAAUUAUGCUGUUGCAGUCCACUUCAUGGAUAAUUUAGUUUCCUUUGAGCUGGUGAUUGGACAUUGCACAGUGGAACGCCAACUCCUUUGAGCAGCGGUGCUGGACAUUGCUUCAAAGUAGUGUAAUUAAAAACUGUUUUAGAAGACAAGGAGCUUAGAUCAUAUUCAGAGAGCAUUGCUUGUAUAGUGAUAAAAAAAAUAAAACCAUAUAUACACACCAUAUAGCUGACAGAUAUUGUACAGAAAUGUCAGUUGGAUGAAACUUUCCCAAUGUAAAAAAUCUCAAAUUUUCUUUCUAAAGUUCACACAUUGGUAUAUAUAUUAAAUUUUAUCACAACAAAAAAAAAUUGUAUAUUAAAAUAUUUAAUGAUAGAUAUCAAUGGCGAAGCCAACAAAUUUUUUUUGGGACCGAAAUUAAAUUGUAUAUUUUUACGAUAGUAAAAUGUAAUUUCACCGUUUCAAUAAUCUAUAUCUUUAUAAUUUUUAAAAGACUAAAUCAAAUUUUCAUUAUUUUUUGGGGGCAAAGUGGCACUUUUACUAUUAUUAAUUUAAAUUUUUAUAAAUUAUAAAAGGCGUAAAUAAAAAAAAUUUCAUUUUAGGGGGUCGGGUCACUGCCAACCCUUGGUGAUAAUGAAUUUACAUUUUAAUACUAUUAAACAUGUACUUUAAAUUUAUAAUUCUAAAUUCUUUUAUUUAAAGAUAGUAUAAAAAAAUUAUGAAAAGAAAAAAGUAACUUCAAAUAAUAACCAAACCCUCCUCUUUUUCAAAAGUCAGUCAACAUCUUUAUUUCCCUCUUUAUGUAGGAACCACGGUCCAAUCUUUUUUAAGAGUUGAUGAAUCUGCAUAAUCAGAACAAAGUUUGAGAAUAUCUUAAAUAACCUUCGUAACAUGUGAAUCAACAGACUCUGCAGAAUGUUCAGACUAUCAAAUAUUCCUCAUAAUUCGACAUAUAAAAUUGAGCACUUCUCCAAGCAGCCUAAAAUCUACUUUCCUUCGCCCUUACCGGUUGCCAAUGCCACAUAUUACUUAGCCUAACUGUAAGUGGAUAAAUAAUUCCUCCUAUUUUUAAAAUAAAAAUAAGUGGUGAUCGCUAGUCUGAAAUAUGGCUUCUUUCCUUUUCCACCAUAAUAAUUAUAACAAUAAUUGGGGAAAUGAUGCCCUUUACAGUAAGAUUCAGCAAUCAAGUCCUAUUUUUAAAAUAAUACUAACAACUGGGCUACUGACAUGGGAUACUAAAAUCUGGAUUUUUUACCUAAAUAUAUUAAAAAAAUUUAAAUACGUAAAUAGGCUAAAUUAAUUACUAAAAAGCUAUUUUUUUAAUUGUACCUGUUUGAUAGGCAUGAAUCAAUUUUUUAUAUUAAAAUUUUCUUAAUCGCGCCUAUCUUCAGGUGCGAAACAAUUUUCUAUAUUAAAUUUUUUUCGUUUAAUAAAAAAUAUUAAUUUUUUCCCGGAUCAAUAUAUAACCCGAGUAUAGAUACGAAAUAUUAUUAAUCCGUAUGUUUUUAUGUUUAGAUAGUGGGUCUUUUACAAAAAUAAUACAAAAAAAUAAAAAAAUUAAAAUAAUAUAUAUAUUUUUAUUUACCAAAAUGAUACAAAAAAACGAAACAGUAGAAAAUGGGAUGCCACAGGCGGCACCACUUGUAUUAUAAGUCCAGCAUUCGUCCAGCUGAAGGAGAAGAAGAAGGAGGAGGAGGAGGUGGUGCCGAAAAAAGAGAGAAAGAGAAGAAAAAAAUAGAAAAAUAAGGUAUUUUUUUUAAAAAAAAUGGAUUAUCUUGUUAUUAUGUUUUUUUGUAUAAUUUUUAUUAUUUUUUGUUGUUAGUUUAGUUAUUAUUGUUAGUUAUUAAGAUUAAUAAAAACUCAAAUUGAUGAUUUUAGUUAGUAUUAUUAUUGUUAGUUUUUAUAGGGUUUAGUUAUUAAUAUUAUUUUUACUUAGUAUUAUUGUUAGUAAAAAACUAAUAUUAUUAUUAUGAUUAGUUAUUAGGAUUAGUAAAAACCCUAAUUAUUAUUUUAGUUAGUAUGAUUGUUAGUUUUUACAUUAUAUUAUUGUUAGUUAUUAUUUUUAGUAAAACCCUAAUUAUUAUUGUUAGUUAGUAUUAUUUUGAGUAAAAAACUAUUAUUAUUGUUAUUGUGUUAGUUAUUAGGAUUAGUGGUUAAACGUUGUUCAUGUACAAAAUGAUAACUGAAAAAGUAUGAGCUUAAGAAUGAAAAAAUUGCAUAUUGAAACAUUACUUUUCUUUAUUUAAGUAAAUUAUUUACUGUUCGAGAGUGUUUUUUGAGAUUUUGUUUUGAAUAUUGAAGAUGGAUGAUAAGUUUUUUAUAUGCGUUUAUUUCGAUGGAACCAUCUUGACAACAACUGUUGGAUGUAUAUUUGAAUGUCGGCAACAAAUAGCAAUGAGAUUUAAUAGAAAUGUCUCGUUGGAUGAUAUGAAGGGAAUGAUUAAUGUAAAAAUUGUUAGACGUUGUGGGAGAAGGAUAUCAAAAAUUUUCUACAAGUUUCCAGUUUCGACAAAUCCGAUCAAAUUCACCGAAAUGGAACUUGUAAACGACAAAGACGAGGAGACAAUGAUCGCUCUUUACUGUGGGAAUGGGAGUGACAAGAAUGCACCGAUUCACUUCUUUGCUGAGUUAGCCGGUAUGGAGCAAAAUGAAGAUGUCAAUGCAUAUGGUGAAGAACACGGAGCUCAAGAACCGUGGAUGGUGGCUCCAAUAUCGUACGUUGAUAGUGAAUCGACUAUAGGUGGGAUCGGUAUCGAUCUGAAUAUUACACCCGAUAUUGAUGUGGUUGGUGGUGAAGAAGGAGGUGGUAGCGAUCAUUGUGAUGAAGAGGUCGAUAGUGACGGUGAUCCUAAUAUGGACGAUAUACCUGAUGAUAUUGACGAUGAAAGCAGUAAUAACGAUGAAAAUGUUAACGCUUCUUCGAUCGGGAACCAGAUGUGAUGCAUUUUGAUACACAAUAAUCCUGGGCCACACAUGUCGCUCAUAGACCCCGACGCAGCGUAUGUAGCUGAGUUCCCGGAGUACCUUGAAAUAGUUUAUCCUCACCAGUUGUCCGUAAAUUCUGAUCAUGAGGAGUUAUUCGUAGGCCAGAGAUUCGAAAGUAAAAAAGAGUGCGUACUUGCUAUUAAACGGUAUUGCAUGAACAUAUCAGUGGAUUAUAAAGUCACACUGUCUAAUCCGACAAUAUAUAUUGGGGAGUGUUGGAAGGCAGUGAAAGGCUGCAAUUGGCGGGUACGAGCUGCAUUCAUUAAAAGUUCGCAGAUGUAGGAGAUACGAAAAUUUGUUGGUCCUCAUACAUGCACAUCAACACGUAUGACAGAAGAUCAUGGAAAACUUGAUUCGAAAACUAUCUGUAUGUGUAUCAUGCCAAUGGUGAAGGACAUGCCAACCAUUAAAGUUUCUGUACUGAUUGCCAAAAUGCAAGCACGAUUCCAAUAUCGAGUAUCAUAUCGAAAGGCGUGGAUAGCUAAACAGAUGGUAAUGGAGCAAUUGUAUGGGGAUUAUGAUUCGUCGUAUAACGAGCUACAAGAAUGAAUAGCUGCUAUGCGGGAGUAUGUACCGGGGACUGUGAUUGAGUUAUAGACAAGAUCUUAUUAUGGCUCGAACGACCAGUUACAGUCGGGAAAAAAGAUUUUCCAUCGGAUGUUCUGGAUGUUUGAUCCAUGUAUGCGGGCAUUUCCCUACUGCAAGCCAUUUGUGCAGGUGGAUGGGACCUGGCUAUAUGGAAAAUAUACACAGAUCCUACUUCUUGCGGUUGCUCAAGACGGAAAUAGAAAAGUGCUUUCGAUAGCAUUUGCCAUCGUAAAUAAAGAGAACUUGGAAUCUUGGGAAUUCUUCCUCACUAACCUGGGGAGGUAUGUUAUUAGCAACGAUAAUAUUUGCAUUAUUUCCGAUAGAGGGAAAUGUUUAAUUGCAGCAAUUAGGCGUUUCGGUGUGCCAUGGAGAUUCGUUUACUGCAUCCGUCACAUUGCAUCUAACUUCCAUAAAUAUUAUAAGAAUGCAGACUGGAAGAGACAAGUCGUGGCAAUGGGUAAAUGAUAACCUUAUCUUUUCAAUAUAAGUUGUAAUGUUUUAUGUUAUCAAGUUACUGGAACUUAUCUUUUCUUAAUACGUAUACAACGUACGAGUUAGAGCCACAUAUUUUUCGCCAAAGAAUGAUUCGACUUGAGAGUGACAUGGAGGGGCAAACAAACACAUCUUUUCGACAAUGGUUGGGUACAAUGGAGCCGCGGCAAUGGGCUCAAAGUUUUGACGAGGGCUUUUGUUAUGGUCAAAUGACCACAAACUUAGUGGAAGGGGUCAACGCUGUGUUGUUAAAAACACGUCAUCCUCCGAUUGCAUUUGUCUUCUCUGCUACAUUCUACAGGUUGGCUACUUUGAUGCCAAGAAUGGGUCAGCAACAAGUCGACCAGAUGGAGGCGGGAUACGUGUUUGUCGAAGAUGUCAGGGAUGCAAUGGUUGCAAACCGUCGGAUGGCGAGGUCGAUGAAUGUAGAAAUAUAUUCACGACGUCUGGAAACGUUUCGAGUUAGUGAGACCAUCGGUCGUCGACCCGGUAUACCACCUAGAUCCUAUGGAGUUGAUAUCCGGAACAAACGGUGCGAGUGUAGGAGGUUCGAAACACUUCAUUAUCCACGUGCACAUGUCGUGGCAACGUGUGCUAAAGUGAACCUUAAUGUUGAACAAUAUGUCGAUGAUGUGUACAUGCUCGAGCGCACAUUGCGUGUCUAGGAAAAUGAGUUCCCCGUCCUGCCUGACCUGUCUACGUGGGAGGUGCCUCCGACGACUUUCGUGUUUCUCUCAGACAGAGGGCUACGUAGGAAUCCAUUCACCCAGCCCCUUAUUACUCAGUACGAGCCCUGAUAGUGUUAAACGUGGAGAAAAAAAAUUAGGAUAACAUGAUUUAUUUCUAUAUAUUACGUAUAUCAUUUUUUAAUAGAACCCGUGAUUAACAAAUAAUAAUAUAUUACCAUGUUAUUAGCCGCAUCAGAUAUGUGAGUAUCACUGUUAAUCAAUGAAGCCAUUGUGAUGCAUGCAACUUCAAAAAAAAAUUAGUAAAAAACCCUUAUUUUGACCAUUUGUUCGUAUUUUUUCCCCGGAUUUUAUUACUUUAAAAAAAUACUAUUUUAUAAUUUUAUUAUUUUACAUUAUUUUAGUACAUUAUGUUUGAAAUUCAUUAAUUUAGUGUGUUUUUUAAAUAAAUUUAGAAAAAUAACCCUUAUUUUGGCCCUUUGCUCGUAUUUUUUUCCUGGAUUUAAUUACUUUCAAUAAAAAUAUAUUAUUUUUUUUAUUUUUUUAUUUUAUUUUAUUUUAGUACAUUAUGUUUGAAAUAGAUUAAUUAAUUCUGUUUUUUAAAAAUAUUUAGUAAAAAAUCCUUAUUUCGCCCCUUUGUUCGUAUUUUCUCCUCGGAUUUUAUUACUUUAAAAAAAUAUACUAUUUUUUAAUUUUAUUAUUUUACAUUAUUUUAGUACAUUAUGUUUGAAAUUUAUUAAUUUAGUGUGGUUUUAAAUAAAUUUAAUAAAAAACCCUUAUUUCGGUCAUUUGCUCGUAUUUUUUCCCGAAUUUUAUUACUGUCAAUAAAAAUAUAUUAUUUUCGUAUUUUAUUAUUUUACAUUAUUUUAGGUUUUUUGUGGCGCUUUCUCCAAAGCGCCGCUAAUGCUUAUUUUCAGCAGCGUUUUCCGUAAUGCGCCGCUAAUGAUCGAUCGUUAGCGGCGUUUUUUAUCUAAACGCCACUAAAAGCCUGUUUUGGUGUAGUGUUACAUAACUUACAUAAAUUAAAUAACUUACUUAACUUAAAUAACUUACAUAAUACAUAACCUUCUUAACUUACAUUAUACACAACUUACAUAAUUAAUAUUAUACACAACUUACAUAAUGCAUUACUUACAUAACUUACAUUACUUACAGUACUUUACUUACAGUACUUACAUAAUACAUAAUACAUAAUACAUAACUUACAUAACUUACAUAAUACAUAAAAAUAUAUCAUAUCAUAACUUACAUAACUCAUUUAUGGUUAUAACUGGCGUUUUCACUUACCCGUGCAAAUUAUUGUCAACGUCAGACUUCAAGAAUUAAGAAAUGGACCGGUCUUGGAUGAACUUGUCAAGGGUUAUCAAAAUGGAGUGGGAAGAACGUAAACGAUGAAGUUAAAUGGCUCUCUCAAGGUCCAAAUCGAGUGGUUAAAAGAUAUAGUGCGUUCCUCAUCAAAGGAUUCAGAUUUCAUACAAAAUAUCGCGAGAGGUUGAGGAGAACGCAAAAUUGGGGAAUAGUUGUUAAUUCCUCAAUUACAAGUUAUGCUAGUGCUAGGGACAAUAAUCCUGUCGAGGGAAAUGUGGAAUAUUUCAGACUUCUUACUGACAUAAUUGAGUUGGAUUACUACGACAAAUGGAAAGUUGUCUUAUUUUGAGGUGAUUGUACUGCUCGUGGAAUUAAGCAAGAUCAAUUUGGUUUUCCAAUGGUGAACUUCGCUCGAUUGAUUCACACAGGACAACAACUGAUAGAUGAGCCGUAUGUAUUCUCAUCUCAAGUCAAACAAGUUUUUUACUCAAAAGAUCCAACUGAAGAGGGUUGGUACGUUGUACUCCGUAACAUCCCUAGAGACUUGUUUGACAUGGGCAGUGGAAGUAGAGAUAACAUCGACGACAGAUCAGAAACUUUGCCCUUUCCAGAACAAAACUUAAAUGAUAAUAUCCCUAGUACUAGUACACAAUUUCAAUGGGUUCGUCAGGAUACGGAUGAAGAUAUUUACGAAUAAUGACAUAGUAAGAUUUUACGAUUGUUUAAUUAUAUGUAAUAUCAUAAUUUAAAUCUUGGUCUUAUUAUAUAUUUCAACUAUUUUAUAUGUGUUGUUAUUGUUGUAAAUAGUUAUUAAGUUUUCAACUAUUUUAUGUGUAUUGCAGAUAAAAUGCCUAGAAGAAAAAUUCCAAGGGGAAGCAUUGUUCAAAAUGAUCCAAACUCGACAGAAACAAAUAGUUUUGAACAACAGACAGUAAUUGAAUCUUUGAAUGUUCCGAUUACACCUGAGGAUCCUACAGAAGUUCAAAGUAAUUUUACAUUUAAUUUACAUGUGCGUUGACUUAUAAUUGAUUUAUUUUUCAAAUUCUUAUAUUAUAAUAUAUCAUUUGCAGCUGAAAAUGGUGGGACGCGCAGAGGUCGAGGACGUACGCUACUUAGAGAUUUAUACGAGUUAGAUCCAGUCGAGCGUGUCAAGGUAUGCAGAAACAGUUUUGGUCAGCCUGUUGGAUCAGAAGCUCGACUUUUAGCAGGAUACAUGGGCAUUUUAGCACGAAAUGCGAAUAUGUUGCCUAUCAACUACGAGUCAUGGCAUCAAAUUCCCGAUAGCAACAAAAACCAAGCCUUCGAUAAUAUUAAGGUAACAAAAUGUUAAUGUCAUCUGUAAUGCUUGGGAAAUAGUUUGAUUUAUAUUUACUUUAUUAACUUGUGUUUUUUGUUUUUUGUAGGCGAGGUUUGCUUUAGAGGUCUCGGAUGCUUAUGUAAAGAAGGCAUUGGGAAAAAGAUGAAGAGACCAUAAAAGUACUUUGAAGAAAUAUUAUUAUAAGACAAAAACAACCCUCAAUGAGAAAUUGCAAAAUGUCCCGCCGGGUAUGCUAAGGUACCAAUGGGAAGAUACGGUUAGAUUUUGGCAUUCGAAGAAAGGCGAGGUAUGACGUACAUCCAAACUAUUGUAAUUAUUUUGGUUUAUAGUAUUUACUAUUUACGUACUAAAAAUUUCAUAACGUAGGAUCGUGAACGAGUUUGAAAAGCAGCAGGCAAAAACAAAAAUUCACUCACACAGCCGGGUCGAGAAGUUUUGCAUGUAUAGCUGAUGCGGAGGUAUUUUUAAUUUUUUAAUAUUGUCAAAUAUGUAUAACUUUCCAUUAAAUAAUAUUUUUACUACUAUAUUGUAGGAACGAUCGUCCGGUCAAAAAGUUGGACGCCUUCAACUUUUUGAAAUUACACAUAGGAAGAAAGAUGGAUCUGCUAUGACUCCUGAAGCUGGUGAAAUUAUGGUACGUUUACUUAAUACGAUUUGACUUGUUUUAGAUAUGUAUAGUGUUUAUUUUCUAAUGGUUUAAUUCAUUGCUUGUAAUGCGACUAUUGUUAUGUUGCAUUUGUUUUUUUUAAUAUAUAUUGCGUUCCUAACUAUGUGAUUUAUUUAUUAGGAAAAACUAAAGGAUAAAAAGGCGGAGUACGAAGCGAUUGCUUCUAGUGAUAGUUCUGUUCAUCCUGAAGACAUUGACAAUCGGAUUAUUACUGAAGUUUUGGGUCCUGAAAGGUAUGGUCGGGUUCGAUUUCAAGGAUAUUUUGUUAGCCCAACCCAAUAUUUUGGAUCCAGCUCGCAGCAAUCACUACACCAAAACAGAUUUUUAGCGGCAUUUUUAGAGGCGGUUGGACAAAAAACACCGCUAAAGCUCGAGAAUUAGCGGCGAUUCCAUCAAAGCGCCGCUAAAAUUAAGAAUUAGCGGCGUUUUUGUACAACGCCGCCAAAAAAUAAGCCCAACGGCAUCGUUUUGUGACCUUUUCGGGCUUUAGUGGCGUUUUUGCGCUCGCGUCGCUAAAUACUCGGUGCCUAUAGUGGCGCGUGAAUGAUAAACGCCGCAGAGAUAUUAAAGCAGAACGCAGGGUUCGGUGUUGAUCAAUUGUUGCUUUAGCGGCACUAAUCUAGAAAAGCCGCCAAAGAUCAGUAUUAACGGCACUUAUAUAGUAAACGCCACAGAAAGUUAACCAAAAUGCAUCGUUUGACCUCGAGGUAUAGUGGCAUUUAGCAGCGCUUUAGUUACAACGCCACUAAAGAUCUUCAUUAGCGGCGAUUUCACCAUAGCGCCGCAAAAGAUGUUAAAACUAAACGCAGCGUUCGGUGUUCAUCAAUUGUGGCUUUAGCGGCGCAAACAUAAAAACACCGCUAAAAAUCGAUAUUAACGGCGCUUACCGGAUAAACGCCGCAGAAAGCUAACCAAAACGCAUCGUUUGGCCUUGAUGUAUGGUGGCAUUCAGCGACGCUUUUAACUGAACGCCACUAAAGAUCUUCAUUAACAGCGUUUUCGUUAAAACGCCGCCGAGUCUGUUAAAACUAAAUGCAGCGUUUGGUUUUAAUCAAUUGCGAUUCUAGCGGCGCUAAUAAAAAUCACCGCGAAAGAUCAGAAUUAACGGCGCUUAACGAAUAAACGCCGCAGAAAGUUAACCAAAACGCAUCGUUUGGCCUUGAUUUAUGGUGGCAUUUAGCGGCGCUUUAAACCGAACGCCACUAAAGAUCUUGAAAACGCCGCAAAAUAUGUUAAAACUAAACGCAGCGUUCGGUUUUGAUCAAUUCUGGAUUUCGCGGCGCUAAUUGAAAAACGCCGCUAAAGAUCUGUAUUAACGACAUUUAACUAGUAAACGCUUCAAAAAGUUAACCAAAACGCAUCGUUUGGCCGUGAGGUAUAGUGGCAUUUAGUGGUGCUUUGCCUAAAAACGCCACUAGAGAUGUUAAAACUAAAUGCAGCGUUCGUUGUUGAUCAUUGUGGCAUUCGCGGCGCUAACAUAAAAUUGCCGCUAAAUGUCGGUAUUAACAGCGCUUGACAAAAAAAUGCCGCAAGUAUUUAACCAAAGCGCAUCGUUUUGGCGGAGAGGUAUAUGGUCAUUAGUGGCGCUUUUAUUAAAAACACCACUAAAGAUCAUCAUUAGCGGCACACUUUUAUAAACGCCGCAACAACAGUAAGUAAAAUGACGUUGUUUUUGUUCUUUCGUGGCGUUUAAUUUAUAAACGCCGCAAUAAAAUUAUUGUAUUUUUCCAAUCUAGGAUUUAGAAUUUAAGAUUUAAUGUUAAUGGAUUAGAGUUUUAGGGUCUAUGAUAUACUGUUUAGGAUUUUGGGUUAGAAAUCUAAGAUUUGGGGUUUAAGGAUACUGUUUGAAAAUUAAAGAAUAACAUUUGGUAUUUACGGGAUUCAUGCGAUUUUGUACUACGUACACCGAUAUUAUAUAUUAAAUAUAAGAAUAUAAAUUAUAUAUUUCGUACUACACUAACAUUGGCCACACCCGAAUUUCCAGAGAUAUGGUUUAAGGUUUACAGUUUAUUUGAAGUUUAGGGUUUGGGUUUUAUGGUUUAAGGAUUUAGGGUAUAUUUGGGGAUUGUAUUUUGGGGUUUGGUAUAUAUUGUUGUUAAUUUGUGGUUUACGGGUUUAAUGUUAGUAGUUUAAGGUUUAAGAUUUAUGGUUAAGGUUUACGGCAUAUUGAGGACUUGGAUUUUAGGGUUUAGUAGUUUAGUGUUUUAUGGUUUAUGAGUUUUAUGUUUAUGGUUUAGGGUUUAGAGCUUACGAUUUACGAUUGAGGGUUUUGUGUUUAAUCUUGGAUUUUUAUUUAGAAUAUAAAUUAAUGUAAAUAAGAUUAUAAAUAUAAUCUAUUAUUUUUAAGGAAAAAAACAUCAAAAUGUGUUAAUCCCAAAAGCAUACAUGAACAAUAUUGGUUUAAUGUUCAAUUGUAUACAUUAACUUAUAAUUAAAUUGAUCCAUAUCUUGUAAAAUAUUAACACAAUUCUCUAUCAAAUUAACAUCAUUUUUAAUUUAUAUAUUGUUUUUAUACAUAAAUAUUUAUAUUUAUUCAAUAUAAAAAUAUAUUGAUUCGCACAUAUUUUUUAAAUUGUGUAUUUAUUUUAAAGGAUGCAUUAUUCUCUUUUAUUACAUAAUAUUUUCUAUUGUAGAUAUAAUUUUAAAUAAAUUAAAAACAUUUUUAAAAUUUGUUGAAUUUUGAAAUAUUUAUUAGGCAUUAGCGGCGUUUAUCUGAAACAAGCCGCAAAAGUAAUUUCAAUUUAGCACAAAAUGGCAUCGUAUUUUCUGGUUUUUGUAGUGGCAGUGGCGGUGCUUAGCAGAAACGCCGCAAUAGGUGUGGUAUUAGCGGCGCAAUUUGUGAAAACGCCGCAAACAUUAUUGAAGAGUUGGCAAAACAGCGUCGUUUUCGACAUGUUAUUAGCGGCGUUUUAUUUUAAAACGCCACAAAGUUUUGCAAACUGUUUUCGAAAUGACUUCGAUUUAGCUUAGAGAGGUUGCGUAACGACCGCAUUUUGUUUAGGGUUUACUGGCGUUUUACCUAUAAACGCCACAAAUGGAUUAAGUUGUAGACGAAAACGGCGUCGUUUACUCUCCAGCCAUAUGAUUCCCACACUAAAACCCGAAAUCCCAAAUUUUCCCCAUUUCCCCCAUUUCCAGAUUAAUUUCCAAUUAUCCCUAACCCCAAACCCUUUCAAUUUGCGCCAUUUGAAAAAUCGACCAUCACAUCCGCCGUUGUCUUUGUCCAGGCCGACCACCUGCUGCGCAAACAUCAGAAGCUCGAGCAUCUCCAUCACCGUUGGACUACUACGGCCGUCGUCAUCGGUUAGUUUCUAGUCGGGCAUUCAUGUGUCAUUUUAGAGAAUCCUGUCGAUGCACAAAUAAUGGGUUUUUGGCAUGCUAUAAUUCUCUUUGUUCCUUGCUGCUGCUUCUUGAUUUUAGCGGUUUCCUGGCUUGAUUUUCUUCAAUUUCUUGCUGAUUUUGAUUUUGUGUUAUGUGGUAUUUUGGGUGGCUGCUAAGAAAUGAGAUGAUAGACCAUUAUUUUGAACUUGAUAAUUUCUUUAAUCUUUAUUAGAGUUUGUUGAACAGAAUCAGUAAUAUUGGUGAAGAUUAUGUUAUGUUGUUAGCAGCAGUUUAUCAUCUAUUUAGUUGUAUAUAAAUUCAUUCUUCUGGAUCAAGCUAUUUGCUCAAUUUGUUAUAAGAAAUCAGAGUCUAUUGUUUUAAAGUUAUUGUGUUUUUUUGUGAGAUUCUUUCAAUUUUAAAAUCUAAAGAGCUUUGGGAUUGUUUUAAAGCAAUAACACCGAAACACUGGUAGAAACAAAGAGAAACGUUGAUGUGCUGGGAUUUGCUUUCAAAUAUAUAUAAAAGAAAUAAUAGUCUGUAAAGCUUGUUUUUGGGGGGGCUAAUAUAUAAAGCCUGUUGUUUUUUGCCUUUAAAUUUUCUUUUUUUGGUCAGUGUUUUUUUCCUUAAAAUUUAAGCUUGAAUUAUUUACAUGAGCAUUGAGCAGUCAUGAAGAUAGAAACCUUAAUAAUUUAUUAUUUAUUUACAGAAAAAUGCAAAGCUGUAAAUGUCUGUCCAAUAAUUUUUCCUGCUAGAACUUGGUGCCACUAACUAGCUGACAAUUCCUUCAAAACCCAAUCAUUCAUAUGUUUAUAUAUAUAGAUUUUACGUUGAUAAUUUUCCUUCUAGAACUUGAUAUGUCAAUCAAGAGCUUUAUAAUUAGUCUUCAAUUUAAUCGAAAAAGCUUGCGUACACAUAUUACUUCUGGCGUAAUAAACUUUUUGAAUACAUCAUCAUACAUAAGCUAAGAUGGAACAUAAUCAGUUAAAACAACACAAAUAUAUAUAUACGUAUUAGUCUUUUCUUUUUCCACCACCAAUUUGUUUUCAUUUGUACUGUUUUCAUUUCUACUUUUUCCUUUUAUUAAAAUUCUGGUUUGGUGUUUUUUGGGUACUAAUUUAGUUGUGUUUUUUGUUUCGCAGCCGUCUGCUCUGAUAUUUGGAAAAUUUGAGGUAUUUAUUCAUAUAUUUCCAUAGAUUGUUUUAUUAAAAAAACACCUCUAAAUUUUUAAAUUUCGUAUUUGGUUAUAUGUUUGCUUUUAUAGUUUACUUAUGAUUUUCGAGUUUUCAAAUGGGUUUUGAUUAAUAUUUUUGUUUUUAAACAAGUGGUAUCGGUUUUACAUGACCAAUUUUUGCGUUAUAUAUUUGUAUCCCAAUUUAUGCGUAAUUUUGCAGCCUAUUACAUAAUUUAAUAAUUCUAAAUCAUAAUUUUAUUUUCUCCCCAUAUUAUGUACCCAAGCAAAAGCAAUUACACAAAUUGAUCGAUUAGUUUAUUCGGUUUAAUGUGAAUUAUUUAUGGGUUUACGAUUUUAUGACAAUGAAUUAUCAAUUUUACUUCUAAUUUAAUAAAUUAUCGCCGUUAGAUGUGACUUGCAUACUUUAAUGUAUGUGUUUAAUUAUCUUUUAAAUACAAUAAAGUCAUCGAUUAAUUGAUUCAAUGUCAAUGAAUUACCCAUUUAUAAUACAUACAUUACAUAACUUAUUAAUAUAUUUAUGGAUAAAUGAUACAUAACUUACAUAACUUAUUAAUACAUAUCAUUUUUAAUACAUAACUUAUAUAAUACGACAUAACUUGUUAAUAUAUAUAUUUUAAAAUGAUACAUAACUUACAUAACUUAUUAAUACAUAACUUAUAUAAUACAUAACUUACAUAAUACGACAUAACUUAUUAAUAUAUUUAUGGAUAAAUGAUACAAAACUUACAUAACUUAUUAAUACUUAACAUUUUUAAUACAUAACUUACAUAAUACGACAUAACUUAUUAAUAUAUAUAUUUUAAAAUGAUACAUAACUUACAUAACUUAUUAAUACAUAACUUAUAUAAUACAUAACUUACAUAAUACGACAUAACUUAUUAAUAUAUUUAUGGAUAAAUGAUACAUNNNNNNNNNNNNNNNNNNNNNNNNNNNNNNNNNNNNNNNNNNNNNNNNNNNNNNNNNNNNNNNNNNNNNNNNNNNNNNNNNNNNNNNNNNNNNNNNNNNNNNNNNNNNNNNNNNNNNNNNNNNNNNNNNNNNNNNNNNNNNNNNNNNNNNNNNNNNNNNNNNNNNNNNNNNNNNNNNNNNNNNNNNNNNNNNNNNNNNNNNNNNNNNNNNNNNNNAAACUUUUUUGAAUUUUGCAUUUCAAUAAAUUAAAUAACUUACAUAACUUACAUAAAUUAAAUAAAUUACAUAACUUACAUUACAUAAUACAUAAAAAUAUAUCAUAUCACAAAUUUCUGUAUUUCAUUUAUGGUUAUAACUGGCGUUUUAACUUAUCCGUGCCAAUUAUUGUCAACGUCAGACUUCAAUAAUUAAGAAAUGGACCGGUCUUGGAUGAAUUUGUCAAGGGUUAGCAACGGUUAUCGAAAUAGAGUACAGUAUUUUCUAAAAUUUGCAUUUCAAUAUGCAAGCCAAGAGAACAUGAUUCUUUGCCCAUGUAAGAAGUGCGUCAACAUAAAUUGGCAUUAUCGUGAGGUUGUAUAUGAGCAUCUAAUUGUUGAUGGGUUUGUUCGGGGUUAUAAACAAUGAUUAUUUCAUGGAGAAUGCCCGUCUAGUACUUCCUUUUCAGCGAUGGAUGUAUCUUAUCCUGGUACUGCUUACCAUCAGUCUGAUAGAGGGGAUGACAUGGAAGGUAUGUUGCGGGAUGCAUUUAAUAUCCACAAUCAUGGUGUCCAGUCGUUCCCAGCGGACUUGGCAGCUUCUGAUGAUUGUAAUAUUGGGAGAAAUGCUUUUACCGAGCCGGGAAGUAGUGUACCUCAUGAAGAGCCGAAUGAAGAAGCGGCGAAGUUCUACACGCUACUUAAUGACAUGAACGAAGAACUGUAUGAGGGAUCAAAAUUUUCAAAAAUGUCUUUCUGUGUUCGUCUUUUUCAAUUAAAAUGUUUGGGAGGGUGGACUGGAAACUCUUUGACAAUGCUGUUAGAGUUUUUGAGAGAAAUGUUUUCCGUUUGCAAAAAUCUCUCAGUCAUGCAAAGAUAUGAAGAAAAUGAUAAAAGAUUUAGGCCUUGGGUACAACAAAAUCCAUAGUUUCCCAAAUGAUUGCAUGUUGUAUUGGGGUGAUCGAAAAAACCAACAGUGAUGUCAUGUAUGCGGUCAAUCCCGUUGGAUUAGUAGAAACACAGAAGAUGGGAAGGACGAUGAAAAUGAUGCACAGUCGAGAAAGAAGCCAGUCAAGAUUUUGCGGUAUUUUCCCCUGAUACCAAGGCUUCAAAGGCUUUUCACGUCGUCCAAGACAGCGGAGUCAAUGACGUGGCACCAUGAUGGACGAACCGAUGAUGGAUUACUAAGGUAUCCGGCAGAUUCUUUAGCUUGGAAAUCAUUUGACAAUAAAUUUCCAGGCUUUGCAAGCGAUCCUAGGAGUGUGAGGCUUGGGCUAGCAUCUGAUGGAUUUAAUCCUUUCAAGAUCAUGAGCACUGCGUAUAGUACUUGGCCAGUAGUGCUUGUUAUUUACAAUCUGCCUCCGUGGAUUUGCAUGAAGCAAUCUUCCCUUAUCUUAUCUAUGAUUAUCCCUGGUGAGAAAGGGCCCGGGAAUGAUAUCGACAUUUAUUUACAACCACUUAUUGAAGAGUUAAAACAAUUAUGGGCAGGUGUCGAGACAUAUGAUGUGCUGAGAAAGGUGAACUUUAAUUUACGUGCGGCUUUGAUGUGGACCAUUAAUGACUUUCCCGCUUAUGCCAAUUUAUCCGGUUGGAGUACCAAGGGUCGUUAUGCGUGUCCUUGUUGUGCUGCACAAACAUGUUCCUAAUGGUUGUACAAUGGGAAGAAGUUUUCUUACAUGGGGCAUCGUCGGCAGUUACCGGAAAAUCAUAGAUUUAGAUUUCAGAGUUCUGUAUUUGACGGCACUGAAGAGUUCAGAGAAGCUCCUUCCCAGACCAGUGGCUCUAAAAUCUUGUUCAUGUUGGAAGAUAUGAAUUUCAUUUAUGGGAAGAUGAACCAACCGCCAAACACGCAAAGAAAUAAAAGAUCAAAUGAUGAAGCUGAUGAUGACUCCGACGAAGAGGACAAUCCGAAUGAGGCGGACUUGUGGAAAAAAAGAAGUAUUUUUUUUUAGUUGCCUUAUUGGGAGCAUCACAUUUUACGACACAAUCUUGAUGUUAUGCACAUUGAGAAAAAUGUCUGCGGGAACAUUAUGGGUACAAUUUUGAAUGUCGACGGAAAAUCAAAAGACAAUCUUCAAAGUCGACUUGAUUUAGUCCAAAUGGGAAUUCGGCCUGAUCUUCAUCCCAAUCCACUUCCGAAUGGAAAAUAUCGGUUGCCGCCUUCUAUUUUCUCAAUGUCUAAGACGGAGAAAGAACUGUUUUGUAUGGUGCUGAAGGAUAUGAAGGUUCCAGAUGCGUAUGCAUCAAAUAUAUCUCGAUGUGUUAGUGUUAAAGAUCAAAGAUUAUAUUCGCUAAAAUCACAUGACUAUCACAUCUUGAUGCAAGAUUUACUGCCAAUUGCUCUACGGUGUUGUAUGCCCAAGAAGGUGACGUCUUGUAUCAUUGAACUAUCCAACAUAAUGAAAGCUAUUUGUGGCAAAUUUUUGGAUGUUCAAGAACUUCAGAAGUUACAGGAUCGAGCCGCUUUGACUUUAUGCAACAUGGAGAUUAUCUUCCCAUAUUCCUUCUUCACCAUUAUGGUUUACUUGAUAAUCCAUCUCCCGCACGAAGCAAUUCUUGGCGGACCCGUUUUCUAUCGAUGGAUGUAUCCCAUAGAAAGGUGUUAAUUAAAAUUUUUAAAAUUUUCCUUCAUUCACCUCUAUGCCUUUAGUUACAACUUUUGAUAAUGUUGUAUAUUGUGUUUAGGUUCCUAUCCAAAUUAAAGUCUUACUACCGCAACAAGCGAUAUCCAGAAGGAUCGAUUGCUGAAGGCUACUUGGCAGAGGAAUGUAUGACCUUCUGCUCAAGAUAUUUGGAAGAUGUCGAAACAAGGUUGAACAGACCAAAUAGGAAUGCUGGACUCACGGACUAUAACUUAGCCGACACUUAUUUGUUCCAAAGUUUUGGAGAACCAAUCGGCAAAGUUGAAAUUGCAGAAUUAGAACAUUUAUCGUGGGUACAAGCACAUCGAUAUGUUCUGUUUCACCACGAAUCAUUGGAACCUUUACGGAAGUAAGUUCUACAAAUUUUAUAAAUAUUUAUCAAACUAAAAAUUGUUUAUCUUCUAACAAAGAUCACAUUUUUUUAACAUAGUGAGUACAAACAAAUAUUGAGAUCUCGUUCGCGCUCCCGAAGAACACAACAUCGAGAUAUCAAUAAGUUGUUUACAGAAUCUUUUUAUGAAUGGUUAAGCCAAACGGUAUGCAGUUGGAGCUUCCGCUUACAAAUAAUAAUGCUUUCUCAUAACAUUUUUAAUUACUUAGUUUACUUUUCAUUCAAUAGGUUUGGAGUGGGAAGAACGUAAACGUCAAUUAAACAUUUAAGUGGUAAAUAAAGUUCUAAAUCCCAAAACAGUCCAAAAAAAUCACAGUAAUGGACAGACAAUAGAACGUGAGAAAAAAAAACGUGAAAAGUGGGAAACAAAACCUUUUAAUUUAAUUAAUAUUUUUUUAAAAUAAAAUAAAACAAAACAAAAAUAAAAUCCCACCGAACCCACUAAUCCAACGGCAUAAACAAAACAAAUUAUCGUCAUAUCACUCAUGAAGGGACUCAAACCUCAAACCUACUAAAACAGAUUCUGAAUUAUAUGACAAAAGUCUAACAAAUCAUCUAUAUGAAUUUAUGGAGUGUUACAUUUAAAUAUGAUUUUUUUUAUCAAAUAAUCUUAAUUUACCAAAAAUUCUUAUUCAUAAAUGCGAUAAAUCUUUAUAAAUAAAUUACAAAUUUAAUAAUAUAAUAAACCAUAAAAAAUGUAUUAGUCAGUUCAAAAGUUGUACUGAACUCGUGUUUUUAUAAAUAUAGAUAAUAUAAGAUUAUUAUAUUUAUGUAGUAAUAAGUUUUUGACAUCUUAUAAACUAAUAAUUAAACAUAUAUAAUUGUAACACGAUAGAAUUAUAUAGGGGAAGAGUGCGAAGUUUACUACAGGAGUUUUGCAUGAUUGCAUCUAUCUUUUUCUAUUGCUUUGAAUUGAGCUUGGUUUGGUCGACGUUUCCUAGUGGGUGAUCUUUCUAAUCCUAUAGUGGGAAUCAGCCAAUGUUGACUCCUUUUUUGUUGCUAUCUAGAUUUAAAGACCAAAGGUAACACGCUACCAAGGGGUUUGGAAAAUUUUCAAUCCAUGAAUGAAGCUACAGUUGUACGAUCUACUUCUAUAAAUGGACGACCUUCUUGAUAAUUUCAUCUACUCACAACUCUUUUUUUCUGUCCAACAAGUCUCUCCAAUGGUGGGUGAAGCAAAGUUGAUAGAAAAUAGGGUGGAAAAACCCGUCUCCACAGAUGGUUUAUUUCGUUUUAUUAAAUCAGUCAUUUCCGAUGAACAACAAGAAGAAACAGGCCCAUUUUACGUGCUGGAUUUGGGUGCUACGAGGUCCCUAGUCGAGACAUGGUUCCAUAAUCUUCCCAUGGUUCAACCUUUCUAUGCAGUCAAAUCCAACCCUAACCCCGCUUUCCUCAAAGAAAUGGCAGCUCUCGGCACCGGCUUUGACUGUGCAAGCCUUCCUGAGAUUGAAACCAUUUUAUCGCUUGGGGUUUCGCCUGAUCGAAUCGUUUUCGCAAACACAUGCAAACCCGAGUCUCACAUCAAGUAUGCAGCUAAAGUUGGCGUUAACUUAGCCACUUUCGACUCCAACUGUGAGCUCGAAAAGAUAAAGAAGUGGCA